This 510-nucleotide long non-coding RNA is filed under the name Vigna radiata. Its description in RNAcentral is "long non-coding RNA (VRAD_LNC009245)". The record is from RNAcentral. Lineage: Eukaryota; Viridiplantae; Streptophyta; Magnoliopsida; Fabales; Fabaceae.
GCAACAAAUUUAUGUUCUUUUAAACAAAAAUGGUAUUUAUAUAAAAGUAGUUAAGCUAAAUUACUUAAAACAGAAUUAGAAGAGAAAAUACUUAUGUAAUUAUUUUUCACAAAGUAUACAUAUGAUAAAUGAAUUAUUCUGUAUAUGCAUAUCCCAUCGUUAUUGCAAACAAUACAUAGACUGCAUAUCACUCAACUCACUCUAAAAGUGACGGAUUCAUACAAAAUUACACAUUCAUGCUGAUUAAAUAAAUUUACAUAUAGAUGCUGCAUGUCAUAUCUUAGGUGUUAUUCAUAUAUAUAUAUAUAUAUAUAUAUAUAUAUAUAUAUAUAUAUAUAUAUAUAUAUAUAUAUAUAUAUAUAUAUAUAUAUACUAUACUCUAUAUAGUAUAAUACUAAGACUAAACUUGAGUAAGAGAACUGAAGCAAAAUCACGUGAAAGAUGGUAGAGAUUCAUUCAGAGUUUGGUCUUUGGAAACGAUGCUUGGCGAGUCCAAUAAAUUAGCCUUCC